GGAUUUGCUGUAAUUUGCACGUCUCGCAUCUCUGAAAGAUAUCGAGUGUUUUAAAGCCUGAUUGGUGAAGUCAAAUGGUUUUAUGCUGUCGUCUUUCUUCAUAGAGACAAAAGAGAUAUAUAAAGUAAUAUGCUCAGUAGUCUUUUUGUGGGGUGGCCGUUGGGAGGGGUUGUGGUUUUUUCUUUCUGUCAUUUACUUGCCAUCUCUUUUUCUUGCCUUUCUUCUGUUUUUCUUUGUUCUCCACUGUUUAUGUGCUUUGAGCUGCCAACCAUUGUGUUUCCCUCGCUCUCUCUCUGUUACACGACGUCAGUGUGUUUAUCAGUGUUUGUACAGACCUAUGGCCUCUUGCUUCUCAAACCCAGGAGCAACACACACACAGUGCCGCAGUCUUUGUCUGACUGCUGUGAAAGUCCGAUGGCUCAGGAAUACUAAUCCCACUCACAUGUCAUUUGGACGGACCAGAGGAGCAGCUAAUGGGGCAGGCGAGAUGAGGAGGAGACACUGUCGAUGGCUGUGUGGCAGUGUGUGUGAGUGGCAGAGUCCUCCCAGCCACAGAGAUAAAGAUUAGCAAAGGCCGAGCUGAACACAGAGGUCCAUUUACUGCACAUGGCACUGCACAUCAUCCCGCUACUGCUGCCAGUGAAAAACAGGACAGACUGUUGUCUAUGUAUAUUCAGCAUAUAUUUUGCAUGAGCUGCAAAUCUGCACAUUUCAAGAUUUACUCAUGCCAUGAUAUACUGCAACUGUUCAAAAGUUUGUUGUCGGCCUUCCACUUUGGGCAGAGUGAGACCUCAAUGGCACGAUCAGGGGAUGGAGAGUGGAAGUGUGAUGAGAGAGGAGGAGUAAGAGAGAAAGAUAAAUGGGCUUAAUGGACUAUCAUGAAUGCAGUGGGCGGAGUCAUGCCAGUGUCACUCAUUCCACCCCCUCUGAAUGAUCUCUGACCUGUCCUUGACUGGAAUUGAAUCCCUGCUCUGGUAGGUGAUGAUUCUUGCACCAACCACAAAUUACUGAAGCAUCUGACUCUAUGUCCCCUACACAAAUAAAAACCUGCAUUAAAGGCUCAUUUCUCAGCCGUGGACACACUCACCCUGACCCUCAGUUCCACUCAGCUGUCAUUCACCCGUUUCCUCUGAGCUCCCCUAUAGCCUUCAGCUACGAUGACAAGAGAUCACUCCAUCAAAGAGAAGGACCUGAAAGGACACACUUGGGGCACACAGAAAAAAUGUUUGGGAUAUUGAAGAACUGAAGAAGGCUUUAUGUGUUGUCACAUAGGCCAUAGAACACAGAAGACCUGACAUUGCACACUUAUUAUGCAUAUUGAUAUUGUAAAGCAUAACCAACGUAACAGUGCUCAAAAGAUUAUUAUUUAUCCAGUGAAAGUCAUACACAGACAGUUCACAGGCAAAUCCUUUUGAAUAAUAACUGUUUCUUAUAAUUUCCAGUAGUGAAUUUACAAUAAGUCUAUAGGGUGGUACUUAGGCAUUGCAUUGGGAUAAAAUACACUUGUUUCGAAAGCUGUACUGACUGUGAAGCAUUAACAAUAAACAUUUUAACUUGAACAUGGUAAAGUCAUUUACUAAGCAUGUCUGUGCAAAUAAAUGUUCAAUAUUUUACCUCAAACAGUUUAAACAAAAGGAAAAAAUUAGGACAGUGUGACCAUAUUAAACUUUCGCAUUCUAGAUGUGCAAACUAAUAAUUACCUAAAGUUUAUCUGCCUGCUUAAAUGAGAAUUUUACAUGUCAACACUUUUUGUACAGGGGAAA
Cyprinus carpio (common carp) is the source of this 1763-nucleotide long non-coding RNA. RefSeq lists it as uncharacterized. The transcript is spliced from 5 exons. Lineage: Eukaryota; Metazoa; Chordata; Actinopteri; Cypriniformes; Cyprinidae. The record is from RefSeq and is a predicted model, not a curated record.